GUGGCUUCCUAUUGUAUACAAUGUGGUCAGCACGGAGGUUCUGCUCUGAAGAGUCAUUCAGAGAUCCAGGUUUCUUCCAUGUGUACAUCAUCAUUGUCAAUUUACUGACUCCAGAGUCACUGCAGAAGGAGAGAGAGCGGAGUGGAUUGUACUGGAGGUUUUAUGGAUGGGACUGGAAGUGGUUUAUAUCACUCUACCCGCCUGUUUUUGUUCUCUCCUUGGCCUCAAACUCCAGAUUGACUGUUAUUCUGGAAUAUCCAUUUGUCUUCUUAAUCCCUUCUCUCCCGUUCUCUACUCUGCUCUGUGUCCUGGGAGCCUGGCCUCUACGGAUUGAACCACCUGAGCCUCCUUGCCUUCUGGCUUCCAGUUGGGUUCAGAGAAUGAGAGGUACAAGCAGGAGAGUGUCAACAGGAAGAGAUUGAAUUUGAGGUAGGACACCACCAAAGCAUGGCUUGAUGGGCGGUGUGUAGGUCCACACCCAGGAUCCAAACCCGCGAACCCCUGGCCACUGAAGUGGAGCACACAAACUUAACUACUACACGACUGGGCUGGACCCUUAAGAUGGUAUUUAAGGUGGUGGCUUUGGCCAUUUGGGAACCAAGGCAGAAGACUGCCAGAUGGCCAAACUGCAGAACUGAUCCAAACCAGAAAAGUCCAAGAUGGUGACAGGGUGUCUGGUACAAAAGGAAACGUGUGCAAAAGGUGCCAUGUGCAAGAAGGGAAGAUCUGCACAUGCCCCAAAUGUCCCCGGCCCCCAAGCGGUGAUGGGGAGAUCCCCCCCGCUUCACAUCCCAUAAGAAUGUUGCUCACCUUCCCUUCCAGAAGAAGGUGUUUUAGAGGACCAGCUCUCCCUUUCUCCAUUCCUUGAUCAAGCAAUAAAGUUUCUGCUCUGCUAUUCUGA
This 901-nucleotide long non-coding RNA is filed under the name Equus caballus (horse). Its description in RNAcentral is "lncRNA (ENSECAG00000046232.1)". Lineage: Eukaryota; Metazoa; Chordata; Mammalia; Perissodactyla; Equidae. The record is from RNAcentral.